Molecule: small RNA, 1076 nt
Filed under: Pan troglodytes (chimpanzee)
Lineage: Eukaryota; Metazoa; Chordata; Mammalia; Primates; Hominidae
Description: processed transcript
Source: RNAcentral
ACUGACACGCAGCUUUGGUUAAAGAGCGGGCGCACAGGAGGGGAGGAGACCGCGCGCGGGACGGGGAGGAAUGGCCUGUCCGCGUUAAACCAUCACAAGCCAUGGUUGCGGAAGGGCCACGCGUCCCCCAGUAGGAGAAUGACUCCGAUUCGUGACCCUCAGCACCGGUGCAUGUCGAUCAAGUUUAUUUCUGAUCGUGAAAGUAGAAGAAGUCUCACAAACAGCCAUUUGGAAAAAAAGAAGUGUGAUGAGUAUAUUCCAGGUACAACCUCCUUAGGCAUGUCUGUUUUUAACCUAAGCAAUGCCAUUAUGGGCAGUGGGAUUUUGGGACUCGCCUUUGCCCUGGCAAACACUGGAAUCCUACUUUUUCUGGUACUUUUGACUUCAGUGACAUUGCUGUCUAUAUAUUCAAUAAACCUCCUAUUGAUCUGUUCAAAAGAAACAGGCUGCAUGGUGUAUGAAAAGCUGGGGGAACAAGUCUUUGGCACCACAGGGAAGUUCGUAAUCUUUGGAGCCACCUCUCUACAGAACACUGGAGCAAUGCUGAGCUACCUCUUCAUCGUAAAAAACGAACUACCCUCUGCCAUAAAGUUUCUAAUGGGAAAGGAAGAGACAUUUUCAGCCUGGUACGUGGAUGGCCGCGUUCUGGUGGUGAUAGUCACCUUUGGCAUAAUUCUCCCUCUGUGUCUCUUGAAGAACUUAGGGUAUCUUGGCUAUACUAGUGGAUUUUCCUUGAGCUGUAUGGUUUUUUUCCUAAUAGUGGUUAUUUACAAGAAAUUUCAAAUUCCCUGCAUUGUUCCAGAGCUAAAUUCAACAAUAAGUGCUAAUUCAACAAAUGCUGACACGUGUACGCCAAAAUAUGUUACCUUCAAUUCAAAGACCGUGUAUGCUUUACCCACCAUUGCAUUUGCAUUUGUUUGCCACCCGUCAGUCCUGCCAAUUUACAGUGAGCUUAAAGACCGAUCACAGAAAAAAAUGCAGAUGGUUUCAAACAUCUCCUUUUUCGCCAUGUUUGUUAUGUACUUCUUGACUGCCAUUUUUGGCUACUUGACAUUCUAUGACAACGUGCAGUCAGA